UGGGGAUUCAGACUGAUUAUUAAUUGUGCCGUUAUUUCCUGUAUUCCUGAGAGAGAAACAGACUGAAUUCUUCAUCUCACCACCGCGUCUCUGUACUUAGUGCAGACUAACGUUAUGUAGAAGUAGAGGAGCAAGCAAUUCCACGUAUUGCCAAAAUUCCCUACACUGUCAUUCUUUAAAAAAAAACCUCCACUGUCACA
This 200-nucleotide long non-coding RNA is filed under the name Sorghum bicolor (sorghum). RNAcentral's name for it is "long non-coding RNA (SBIC_LNC001989)". The record is from RNAcentral. Lineage: Eukaryota; Viridiplantae; Streptophyta; Magnoliopsida; Poales; Poaceae.